Molecule: long non-coding RNA, 618 nt
Organism: Syzygium oleosum
Lineage: Eukaryota; Viridiplantae; Streptophyta; Magnoliopsida; Myrtales; Myrtaceae
Exons: 2
Source: RefSeq, a predicted model, not a curated record
UUAAAAACUUGUGUACCCAAUAAAUAAAAAUUGUAUUUUUAUUUUCCAAGAAGAUUUUCAGUUCCUUCAAAUUUUUCUUUGCUCGGCAGAGCCCAGUCUGACAUCUUCUUGCAUACCCCACAACGCACUCACUUAAGAAAAAAGCAGGAAGGGGUUGGUUUCGAGGGUAAAAUGAACCCUACUUACUGUCUUCUCCUUCUUCCACUCGAUAAAGCUGGUUUUCUCUUGCAGAUUUGUGCUAGAGUGGUCCAUGAAAGCCUUUUGUAUGGGCCUCUCUCUCUCUCUCUCUCUCUCUCUCUCUCUCUCUCUCUCUCUCUCUCUCUCUCUCUCUCUCUCUCUCCCUUUCUGCUAUAUCAAGAGAGAGUGUGUGAGUGUGUGGGCGUGGAACUUUGUGAACAGAAGUUAGAAGAUUGAAGGGGAUGUGAGAUCUGAGGAGGUGAAAAUUGAAAAAAACAUCCUUAGAAGCUCAAGAAAGCUGUGGGAAAACAUGGCAAAUUCAGGAUUUUUUUUUUCAAGCCAUUGUGUUGCAGAGAAGAGAAAACUAUCUUGAUAUUCCUCUACACAUGUUGUGAAACUCAGCAGCUUCAGAUUCAUCUUUAUGGUAACACCACUUGUUCU